This 133-nucleotide non-coding RNA is filed under the name Amphilophus citrinellus (Midas cichlid). The record is from RNAcentral. Lineage: Eukaryota; Metazoa; Chordata; Actinopteri; Cichliformes; Cichlidae.
UGGGAGGUAUAAGAAGGUGAAACUACUGAAGUGUAUAGUUUUCACCGAUACCUACCUCCAAAAGUGAAAGUGGUAGUGUGAACCACCUGAUCUCCAGCAAUAGGUUUUGAGUGCUCUGCACCUACCCACAAUA